AUGAGCCGAGCUUCGCAAUCCCAUUCCCAUUCCCAGAUGAAGCUGCUGCUGUCCAUCCUACUCCUUGCAGCGGAGACCGGUCAUGAGCAGACGAUGGGCGCCAUUGCUGGACAGCAGCCGCCGAUCACGCGCGAGGGCUGCCCCGACAAGUGCGGCGAGACGAGCAUCCCCUUCCCGUUCGGCAUGGCGCGCGGCUGCUUCCGGCCGGGCUUCCAGGUCGUCUGCAACCACUCCUUCCGCCCUCCUCGCGCCUUCCUCGCUGACAACGGCGGAAGAACGUACCAGCGGAUGAUGGACCAGAACUACACGGGGCCGUCGUUCAGGCCUGGAGAGCCCUUGCGCCGGAACAAGGCGGUGGAGCUCAUCGACGUGUCGGUCGACAAGAGCGAGGCACGGAUAUACACCGCGGUCAGCUCCAUCUGCAGCACUAGCGGCACCCACGCGGUGGGCAGGUAUGCGUUCACCUACCUGGACAAGGCAGGGCCGUUCCUCGCCUCGCCAGUCCGCAACGUCCUCGUCGGCGUCGGAGCAAGAGUCGAGGCCACCAUGGUGAGCAGCUUCGGCGAGACGGAGAAGGCGAUGGCCUACCGGCCGUCCUGCCUCUCAGACCUCGUGGGCAACCUGCAGUUCACCACCGACGGGGAGUGCUCGGGGCGGGGCUGCUGCGUCGCCGUCUUGCCCCCGGAAGCGCCCCUCCUCACCAGGUUCGUGGCCGGGUUCAGGCCCCGCCACAGGAGGCCUGGGUGGGAAUCCAGCCCAUGCUCCUACGGCAUGGUGGUGCAGAGCUCCUGGUACAACUUCUCUACGCCGGAUCUGUACGGCUACGAGGCGCUAUCCGGCAGGCUCGCGAGGGGCGUGCCCGCCGUGCUCGAUUUCGCCAUCAGGAAAGGUAGGUGCCCGCCCGACGGCCAGCAGCCACCGGCGGGCUACGCUUGUGUCAGCGGCAACAGCUCUUGCUCCAACGAGGCAAGAGGCUAUGUCUGCAAGUGCUCGGAACAUUACCAUGGCAACCCCUACAUCACCAAUGGAUGCCAAGACGUCGACGAGUGCAAGUUGCGAAAACAGAGUCAUGAGCUCAGACUCUUGUAUCCUUGCUAUGAUGACGGGAUCUGCAGCAAUAGGGUGGGAGGCUAUGAUUGUCGCUGCAAACCCGGAAUGAAAGGCGCCGCUAUAAAAGGGCACUGUACGGAGAAAUUCCCCCUGCCAGCAAAAGUGGUUGUCGGCAUUGCUGCCUUCAUUGUUGUCUCAGUGCUCAUGGUUAUGUCCCAUCAACUCCUAAAACUCAAAAGGUUCUAUGAGCAAAAUGGCGGUCCAGUACUAAAAGGUGUGAAGAAUAUACGGAUCUACAGAAGGAAACAACUGAAACAAAUAACAAAUAACUACAGGCAUAUCAUUGGAGAGGGCCACUUUGGCAAGGUUUAUAUGGGGACUCUGGAAGACAAACAACAUGUGGCUAUAAAGAUCUCCAUCAAAGUCGACAAGGACAUGAAGAAGGAAUUCAUCGACGAGGUUAUAAUACAGUCCGGAAUGAGGCACAAGAACAUCGUCAGGCUCCUAGGCUGUUGCCUGGAGGUGGAUGCUCCAAUGUUGGUCUACGAGUAUGCAGCAAGGGGGAGUCUACAUGAUGUUCUGUUUGGAUUAAGGCGCAUAGAUAUCAUACCUGUGCAUACGCGCCUCGGCAUUGCUGUCGGGUCAGCCGAAGGCCUAGCAUACAUGCAUUCAGCAGUGGAGAGCACAAUACGCCAUGGCGAUGUUAAAUCUGCCAAUAUUCUUCUGGAUGAUAAAUUUAUUCCAAAGGUUUCAGACUUUGGAACGACAAGGCUGCUCGUGAGGGGAAAAUCUGUGAAGACCGAGCGUGUCGUUGGGGAUCUAAAUUACAUAGAUCCAAUAUAUAUGGAGCAUGGAGUUGUUACACAGAAGAGCGACGUCUACGGCUUCGGAGUUGUUCUCAUGGAACUGAUCACAAGGAGGCCCGCCAUACACGACGACCGAAGGAGCUAUGUUGCAAGCUUUGUUCAAGCUUCUCUUGAUAAACAAGCAAGGAACUUUUUUGAUCAGGCUAUUACAAGCGAGGGGGACAUUAAGCUCCUGGAAAUGGUCGGCGAGGUCGCUGUGGAGUGUCUCAAACCUAAUCCAGAAGAACGCCUAGAUAUGAAACAAGUAGAACAAUGCCUCGUCCAAAUUAUGGGACAGUCCGCACAACAUGCUCAGGAGACAAGCUAUCAUGGAGAUCUUAGUCCUGCACCGGAUGAUAUUCCCUUGCUCAAGGAGACAAGGAUUGCAAGAAUGCAGUAA
RNAcentral lists this ribosomal RNA (2295 nucleotides) under Triticum aestivum (bread wheat). Its description in RNAcentral is "partial small subunit ribosomal RNA". The record is from RNAcentral. Lineage: Eukaryota; Viridiplantae; Streptophyta; Magnoliopsida; Poales; Poaceae.